Molecule: ribosomal RNA, 551 nt
Filed under: uncultured bacterium
Lineage: Bacteria
Description: bacterial SSU rRNA
Rfam family: Bacterial small subunit ribosomal RNA
Source: RNAcentral
GUAGGGAAUCUUCCGCAAUGNACGAGAGUCUGACGGAGCAACGCCGCGUGAACGAUGAAGGCUUUCGGGUCGUAAAGUUCUGUUGUUAGGGAAGAACAAGUAUCGGAGUAACUGCCGGUACCUUGACGGUACCUAACCAGAAAGCCACGGCUAACUACGUGCCAGCAGCCGCGGUAAUACGUAGGUGGCAAGCGUUGUCCGGAAUUACUGGGCGUAAAGCGUGCGCAGGCGGUGAUGUAAGACAGAUGUGAAAUCCCCGGGCUCAACCUGGGAACUGCAUUUGUGACUGCAUCGCUGGAGUGCGGCAGAGGGGGAUGGAAUUCCGCGUGUAGCAGUGAAAUGCGUAGAUAUGCGGAGGAACACCGAUGGCGAAGGCAAUCCCCUGGGCCUGCACUGACGCUCAUGCACGAAAGCGUGGGGAGCAAACAGGAUUAGAUACCCUGGUAGUCCACGCCCUAAACGAUGUCAACUGGUUGGUUGGGUCUUCACUUGACUCAGUAACGAAGCUAACGCGUGAAGUUGACCGCCUGGGGAGUACGGCCGCAAGGUUG